GUGCUCGCUUCAGCAGCACAUAUACAAAAUUGGAACGAUACAGAGAAGAUUAGCAUGGUCUCAGAGCAAGGAUGACAUGCAUAUUCGUAAAGUGUUCCAUGUUUUU
This is a small nuclear RNA of Nycticebus coucang (slow loris), 106 nucleotides long. NCBI's taxonomy places the organism in Eukaryota, Metazoa, Chordata, Mammalia, Primates, Lorisidae. The record is from RefSeq and is a predicted model, not a curated record.